UUUAAAUGUAAAAGUUUUAUUUAAUUAGUAUUAGUUAUGAUCUUGAAAAUUAAAAAUUUUGGCGGUAUUUUAGUCUAUUUAGAGGAACCUGUUCUUUAAUUGAUAAUCCACGAUUAAUUAUACUUUAUUUUUUAGUUUGUAUAUCGUUGUUAUUAAAAAUUUUAUAAGAAUAUAAUUUUUAAUUAAUUUAAUUAGAUUUUAAAUCAAAUCAAGGUGCAGUUUAUAGUAAAGUAGAAAUGGGUUACAAUAAAUUUAUUUAAAUGGUUUUUAAUUUGAAAAUAGUUAAAUUAAAUUGGAUUUAAUAGUAAAAGAUUAAAAUUUUAAUUUUUGAUUUUAGCUCUAAAA
Molecule: ribosomal RNA, 345 nt
Filed under: Neptosternus sp. UNM KBMNrsp379
Lineage: Eukaryota; Metazoa; Arthropoda; Insecta; Coleoptera; Dytiscidae
Description: partial 12S ribosomal RNA
Source: RNAcentral